RNAcentral lists this unclassified non-coding RNA (361 nucleotides) under Hevea brasiliensis (rubber tree). Lineage: Eukaryota; Viridiplantae; Streptophyta; Magnoliopsida; Malpighiales; Euphorbiaceae. The record is from RNAcentral.
GGAUGAGGAACACAGAAAGAAGGUCAAGGCCAAGAACGCACUGGAGAACUAUGCUUACAACAUGAGAUUUAGAGAUGAGAAGAUAAGUGCAAAGCCAGCAAUCGGAAUUGAUCUAGGAACGACAUACUCCCGUGUGGGAAUUUGGCAACAUGAUCAUGUUGAGAUCAUAGCUAAUGACCAGGGUAAUAGAACAACACCAUCUUGUGUCGCAUUCACUAAUACUGAACGUUUGAUAGGAGACGCUGCUAAGAAUCAGGUCUCUAAGAAUCCAACAAACACUGUUUUUGAUGCUAAGAGAUUGAUUGGAAGGCGAUACAGCGAUGCAUCGGUGCAAAGAGACAUGAAACUAUGGCCUUUUAAG